RNAcentral lists this ribosomal RNA (446 nucleotides) under uncultured bacterium. RNAcentral describes it as "SSU rRNA". It matches the Rfam family "Bacterial small subunit ribosomal RNA", at positions 26 to 518 of the family's 1533-position model. The record is from RNAcentral.
AGAGCGAACGCUGGCGGCAGGCUUAACACAUGCAAGUCGAGCGGGCGUAGCAAUACGUCAGCGGCAGACGGGUGAGUAACGCGUGGGAACAUACCUUUUGGUUCGGAACAACACAGGGAAACUUGUGCUAAUACCGGAUAAGCCCUUACGGGGAAAGAUUUAUCGCCGAAAGAUUGGCCCGCGUCUGAUUAGCUAGUUGGUGAGGUAACGGCUCACCAAGGCGACGAUCAGUAGCUGGUCUGAGAGGAUGAUCAGCCACAUUGGGACUGAGACACGGCCCAAACUCCUACGGGAGGCAGCAGUGGGAAUAUUGGACAAUGGGCGCAAGCCUGAUCCAGCAAUGCCGCGUGUGUGAAGAAGGUCUUCGGAUUGUAAAGCACUUUCGACGGGACGAUGAUGACGGUACCCGUAGAAGAAGCCCCGGCUAACUUCGCGCCAGCAGCCGC